UACGUAGGGUGCGAGCGUUGUCCGGAAUUAUUGGGCGUAAAGAGCUCGUAGGCGGUCUGUCGCGUCGGUCGUGAAAACUUGGGGCUUAACCCUGAGCUUGCGGUCGAUACGGGCAUGACUGGAGUUCGGCAGGGGAGACUGGAAUUCCUGGUGUAGCGGUGAAAUGCGCAGAUAUCAGGAGGAACACCAGUGGCGAAGGCGGCACUCUGGGCCGGUACUGACGCUGAGGAGCGAAAGCGUGGGGAGCGAACAGG
RNAcentral lists this ribosomal RNA (254 nucleotides) under uncultured bacterium. Its description in RNAcentral is "partial 16S ribosomal RNA". It matches the Rfam family "Bacterial small subunit ribosomal RNA", at positions 524 to 776 of the family's 1533-position model. The record is from RNAcentral.